RNAcentral lists this ribosomal RNA (253 nucleotides) under uncultured bacterium. Its description in RNAcentral is "partial 16S ribosomal RNA". It matches the Rfam family "Bacterial small subunit ribosomal RNA", at positions 524 to 776 of the family's 1533-position model. The record is from RNAcentral.
UACGUAGGGUGCGAGCGUUAAUCGGAAUCACUGGGCUUAAAGGGCGCGUAGGCGGGCGACCAAGUCAGAGGUGAAAGCCCACGGCUCAACCGUGGAAGUGCCCCUGAUACUGGUUGUCUUGAGGGAGAUAGGGGCGUGCGGAACUUCCGGUGGAGCGGUGAAAUGCGUAGAUAUCGGAAGGAACACCGGUGGCGAAAGCGGCGCGCUGGAUCUCUACUGACGCUGAGGCGCGAAAGCCAGGGGAGCAAACGGG